GCCUCUUUAGUAUACCAGUACAGGUGACUUCCACUCACCAAGCCUUAGAAAACACUAAGAAGAAG
Molecule: transfer RNA, 65 nt
Filed under: Hoplodactylus duvaucelii (Duvaucel's gecko)
Lineage: Eukaryota; Metazoa; Chordata; Lepidosauria; Squamata; Diplodactylidae
Description: tRNA-Gly
Source: RNAcentral